This is a non-coding RNA of Ictidomys tridecemlineatus (thirteen-lined ground squirrel), 73 nucleotides long. Lineage: Eukaryota; Metazoa; Chordata; Mammalia; Rodentia; Sciuridae. The record is from Rfam.
AGGGAUAUAGCUCAGUUGGUAGAGGGCUUGCCUUACAUGCAUAAGGCCCUGGGUUCAAUCCCCAGCACCACCA